CUGGCUCAGGAUGAACGCUAGCGACAGGCCUAACACAUGCAAGUCGAGGGGCAGCACAAGGAGCAAUCUGAGGUGGCGACCGGCGCACGGGUGAGUAACACGUAUGCAACCUGCCUGUAAGCGGGGAAUAACCCGUUGAAAGACGGACUAAUACCGCAUAAUACUAAAUUACUGCAUGGUAAUUUAUUUAAACAUUUAUGGCUUACAGAUGGGCAUGCGCGUGAUUAGCUAGUUGGAGAGGUAACGGCUCCCCAAGGCAACGAUCAUUAGGGGUUCUGAGAGGAAGGUCCCCCACACUGGUACUGAGACACGGACCAGACUCCUACGGGAGGCAGCAGUGAGGAAUAUUGGUCAAUGGACGAGAGUCUGAACCAGCCAAGUCGCGUGCAGGAAGAAUGUCCUAUGGAUUGUAAACUGCUUUUGCAGGGGAAUAAAGUGCAUCACGUGUGAUGUUUUGUAUGUACUCUGCGAAUAAGGAUCGGCUAACUCCGUGCCAGCCGCGGC
Molecule: ribosomal RNA, 504 nt
Filed under: uncultured bacterium
Lineage: Bacteria
Description: bacterial SSU rRNA
Rfam family: Bacterial small subunit ribosomal RNA
Source: RNAcentral